RNAcentral lists this transfer RNA (69 nucleotides) under Euphausia superba (Antarctic krill). Its description in RNAcentral is "tRNA-Lys". The record is from RNAcentral. Lineage: Eukaryota; Metazoa; Arthropoda; Malacostraca; Euphausiacea; Euphausiidae.
CAUUAGGUGACUGAAAGCAAGUGUAUGUCUUUUAAACCUAUAAUGGUAGAUAGCAACUACCCCUAAUGA